GACGUAGGGCGCGAGCGUUGUCCGGAUUUAUUGGGCGUAAAGAGCUCGUAGGCGGUUUGUUGCGUCGUUUGUGAAAACUCACAGCUUAACUGUGAGCUUGCGGUCGAUACGGGCAGGCUAGAGUUCGGUAGGGGAGACUGGAAUUCCUGGUGUAGCGGUGAAAUGCGCAGAUAUCAGGAGGAACACCGGUGGCGAAGGCGGGUCUCUGGGCCGAUACUGACGCUGAGGAGCGAAAGCGUGGGGAGCGAACAGG
This 253-nucleotide ribosomal RNA is filed under the name uncultured bacterium. Its description in RNAcentral is "partial 16S ribosomal RNA". It matches the Rfam family "Bacterial small subunit ribosomal RNA", at positions 524 to 776 of the family's 1533-position model. The record is from RNAcentral.